UACGAAGGGGGCUAGCGUUGCUCGGAAUCACUGGGCGUAAAGGGUGCGUAGGCGGGUUUUUAAGUCAGAGGUGAAAUCCUGGAGCUCAACUCCAGAACUGCCUUUGAUACUGGGAAUCUUGAGUAUGGAAGAGGUGAGUGGAACUGCGAGUGUAGAGGUGAAAUUCGUAGAUAUUCGCAAGAACACCAAUGGCGAAGGCGGCUCACUGGUCCAUAACUGACGCUGAGGCACGAAAGCGUGGGGAGCAAACAGG
This 253-nucleotide ribosomal RNA is filed under the name uncultured bacterium. RNAcentral's name for it is "partial 16S ribosomal RNA". It matches the Rfam family "Bacterial small subunit ribosomal RNA", at positions 524 to 776 of the family's 1533-position model. The record is from RNAcentral.